CAACCCUCAAGCCCCCGGGCUUGGCGUUGGGGAUCGGCAUCCGGCGGCGGCCCCUCGGGACCACCGCCCGCCGUCCCCCAAAUCCAGUGGCGGUCACGUCGCGGCCUCCCAUGCGUAGUAGCAACACCUCGCACCGGAGCCCGUCGUGCCCACGCCGUAAAACCCCCGACUUUAUUUU
Molecule: unclassified non-coding RNA, 178 nt
Filed under: Thelonectria veuillotiana
Lineage: Eukaryota; Fungi; Ascomycota; Sordariomycetes; Hypocreales; Nectriaceae
Also listed under: 1 other name
Description: partial internal transcribed spacer 2
Source: RNAcentral